UACGUAGGAGACAAGCGUUGUCCGGAAUUACUGGGUGUAAAGCGCGUGUAGGUGGUAGGCCAAGUCUGCUGUGAAAUCGCCCGGCUCAACUGGGCGCGGUCGGUGGAAACUGGUCAACUGGAGGACGGUAGAGGCGAGUGGAAUUCCCGGUGUAGUGGUGAAAUGCGUAGAGAUCGGGAGGAACACCAGUGGCGAAGGCGGCUCGCUGGGCCGGUCCUGACACUGAGACGCGAAGGCGUGGGGAGCGAACGGG
Molecule: ribosomal RNA, 253 nt
Filed under: uncultured bacterium
Lineage: Bacteria
Description: partial 16S ribosomal RNA
Rfam family: Bacterial small subunit ribosomal RNA
Source: RNAcentral